Molecule: ribosomal RNA, 433 nt
Filed under: uncultured bacterium
Lineage: Bacteria
Description: partial 16S ribosomal RNA
Rfam family: Bacterial small subunit ribosomal RNA
Source: RNAcentral
AACGAACGCUGGCGGCAUGCCUAACACAUGCAAGUCGAACGAUACCUUCGGGUCUAGUGGCGCACGGGUGCGUACGGCGUGGUAACCUGCCCUUAGGUUCGGAAUCACUCCCCGAAAGGGGUGCUAAUACCUGAUAAUAUCUUAUGACCACAGAGUUUUAGCCUUUGGGUGGGCCCGCGUUGGAUUAGCUAGUUGGUAGGGUAGAAGCCUACCAAGGCGGCGAGCCAUAGCUGGUCUGAGAGGAUGAUCAGCCACACUUGGACUGAGACACGGCGCAGACUUCUACGGGAGGCAGGAGUGGGGAAUAUUGGACAGCGGGCGGCAGGCUGAACCAGCUAUGCCUCGUGAGUGAUGAAGUACGUAGGGUUGUAAAGCUUUUUUACCCGGGAUGAUAAUGACAGUACCGGGAGAAUAAGCUCCGGCUAACUCCGUG